AUUGAACGCUGGCGGAAUGCUUUACACAUGCAAGUCGAACGGCAGCACGGGGCAACCUGGUGGCGAGUGGCGAACGGGUGAGUAAUACAUCGGAACGUGCCCAAUCGUGGGGGAUAACGUAGCGAAAGUUACGCUAAUACCGCAUACGAUCUACGGAUGAAAGCGGGGGAUCGCAAGACCUCGCGCGAAUGGAGCGGCCGAUGUCAGAUUAGGUAGUUGGUGGGGUAAAGGCUCACCAAGCCGACGAUCUGUAGCUGGUCUGAGAGGACGACCAGCCACACUGGGACUGAGACACGGCCCAGACUCCUACGGGAGGCAGCAGUGGGGAAUUUUGGACAAUGGGCGCAAGCCUGAUCCAGCCAUUCCGCGUGCAGGAUGAAGGCCUUCGGGUUGUAAACGU
This 400-nucleotide ribosomal RNA is filed under the name uncultured bacterium. RNAcentral's name for it is "bacterial SSU rRNA". It matches the Rfam family "Bacterial small subunit ribosomal RNA", at positions 30 to 432 of the family's 1533-position model. The record is from RNAcentral.